Molecule: ribosomal RNA, 1075 nt
Filed under: Sarcodon sp.
Lineage: Eukaryota; Fungi; Basidiomycota; Agaricomycetes; Thelephorales; Thelephoraceae
Description: partial large subunit ribosomal RNA
Rfam family: Eukaryotic large subunit ribosomal RNA
Source: RNAcentral
UAGUAACUGCGAGUGAAGCGGGAAAAGCUCAAAUUUAAAAUCUGGCGUGCCGGUGGCCGUCCGAGUUGUAGUCUGGAGAAGCGUCUUCCGUGCUGGACCGUGUACAAGUCCCUUGGAAUAGGGCGUCAUAGAGGGUGAGAAUCCCGUCUUUGACACGGACUGCCAGUGCUCUGUGAUGCGCUCUCAACGAGUCGAGUUGUUUGGGAAUGCAGCUCAAAAUGGGUGGUAAAUUCCAUCUAAAGCUAAAUAUAGGCGAGAGACCGAUAGCGAACAAGUACCGUGAGGGAAAGAUGAAAAGCACUUUGGAAAGAGAGUUAAACAGUACGUGAAAUUGCUGAAAGGGAAACGCUUGAAGUCAGCCGUGUCUGCCGGAACUCAGCCUUGUAAAAUUGGUGCAUUUUCUGGUUAAAGACAGGUCAGCGUCGAUUUUGAUCAUUAGAAAAAGGCAAAGGGAAGGUGGCACCUUUUUGGUGUGUUAUAGCCCUUUGUUGUAUAUAAUGGUUAGGAUCGAGGACUGCAGCACGGCCUUUAUUGGCUUGGUGGGGUUUGCGCUCCACACAAAAAUGUGCUUAGGAUGCUGGCUUUAAUGGCUUUAAGCGACCCGUCUUGAAACACGGACCAAGGAGUCUAACAUGCGUGCGAGUGUUUGGGUGGAAAAACCCGAGCGCGUAAUGAAAGUGAUAGUUGAGACCUCCUGUUAUAGGGAGGGCAUCGACGCCUGGACCUGAUCUAUGGAGACGGUUCUACGGUAGAGCAUGUAUGUUGGGACCCGAAAGAUGGUGAACUAUGCCUGAAUAGGGUGAAGCCAGAGGAAACUCUGGUGGAAGCUCGUAGCGAUUCUGACGUGCAAAUCGAUCGUCAAAUUUGGGUAUAGGGGCGAAAGACUAAUCGAACCAUCUAGUAGCUGGUUCCUGCCGAAGUUUCCCUCAGGAUAGCAGAAACUCGUAUCAGAUUUAUGUGGUAAAGCGAAUGAUUAGAGGCCUUGGGGUCGAAACGACCUUAACCUAUUCUCAAACUUUAAAUAUGUAAGAACGGGCCGUCACUUGAUUUGGACUGCUCGGUACGAUUGAAAUUU